GAUGAACGCUGGCGGCGUGUCUAAUACAUGCAAGUCGAGCGAACGGACGAGAAGCUUGCUUCUCUGAUGUUAGCGGCGGACGGGUGAGUAACACGUGGAUAACCUACCUAUAAGACUGGGAUAACUUCGGGAAACCGGAGCUAAUACCGGAUAAUAUUUUGAACCGCAUGGUUCAAAAGUAAAAGACGGUCUUGCUGUCACUUAUAGAUGGAUCCGCGCUGCAUUAGCUAGUUGGUAAGGUAACGGCUUAUCAAGGCAACGAUGCAUAGCCGACCUGAGAGGGUGAUCGGCCACACUGGAAAUGAGACACGGUCCAGACUCCUACGGGAGGCAGCAGUAGGGAAUCUUCCGCAAUGGGCGAAAGCCUGACGGAGCAACGCCGCGUGAGUGAUGAAGGUCUUCGGAUCGUAAAACUCUGUUAUUAGGGAAGAACAUAUGUGUAAGUAACUGUGCACAUCUUGACGGUACCUAAUCAGAAAGCCACGGCUAACUACGUG
RNAcentral lists this ribosomal RNA (497 nucleotides) under uncultured bacterium. Its description in RNAcentral is "partial 16S ribosomal RNA". It matches the Rfam family "Bacterial small subunit ribosomal RNA", at positions 28 to 507 of the family's 1533-position model. The record is from RNAcentral.